CAGUAGUGGUUUGCUUCAAUUAUUUGGAGAGAUAAUAGCAACUUUUUAAUUAUUCAUAACAUAUGCUUAGAAAACUUGGAACUUGAAGAAACCAUAGAAAUUAUCUUCUUCAAUCUUUUUAUUUUUCCAUCCCCAGAUAAUGAAACUUAGGCCAAGAGAAGUUAAAAGGCCCAUCUAAGGUGACUCUACUAGCCAUCCAGGAUGAGAAUUUCCAGAUCUUGUAUUUUUCCUCUAUUUGUGAGACAAUGAGAAGAAAUUAUGUCACUGGCCAAUUUUGUGUAUUUGAGCCUCAGAAAAGACAAAUGAAAACAAUGAACUUUAAAAUAUAAAACCUUCUGCUCAUCUGCUGCCAGUCUUCCAUUGCCAGCUACCCUGUUAGUGAGUAGAACCUGGUAAUCAAAAUUUAAAAAUACUUCAAAGUUCAAUUUCCAGGACUCUGUCAAAUAGCUAGAAAAAGUCGCUUUGACACUCUUAAGUCUUGGAGGUUUAUGUCUUAUACUGAAAGAUUAUUUGAGAUUUAUUAAAAUCAAAUAAGAUUUUGCUGGAAGAGAAAGAGCUAAAAUGAUAUAUCCAUGAAAUGCCCUGGGAACAGUACUUGUUCUAGUUGAACUGACAUCAAGAUAAAAUCUUCUGGUAACUCAGACAUCAAGGUUAUACUAUUUUUGACUACUGUUAUACAAAGGUUUUAAGGCAGCCUUUUUGGCUUUUAAGUAAUGCUCUGAGUCA
RNAcentral lists this long non-coding RNA (726 nucleotides) under Canis lupus familiaris (dog). RNAcentral describes it as "lncRNA (ENSCAFG00040001773.1)". The record is from RNAcentral. Lineage: Eukaryota; Metazoa; Chordata; Mammalia; Carnivora; Canidae.